Molecule: long non-coding RNA, 1020 nt
Organism: Eucalyptus grandis
Lineage: Eukaryota; Viridiplantae; Streptophyta; Magnoliopsida; Myrtales; Myrtaceae
Exons: 4
Source: RefSeq, a predicted model, not a curated record
UGCUCCAGUCAUUUCCAGAUGAAAGUCGCUAAAUGCAAUGCCUGAACAGUCUGGAGCUUUCCUCAUACAGCAUUAUCAGCAGUUAUGUCAGGGGGUGUUCACGAGAUCGCAUUCUGUCCAUAGUUUGAUAGUGAGACGAUCGAUAUCCCCUGACAGGGCAAAAUCUUAGUCUUGAUAUUGGCAGGAUUGAAGCUGGCAGUCCCAGAAUGUGACUGGCAGCCUCUGCAGGAGGACUAUUUCCUCAUAAGAGUGACUUUUCAGAAAAUAAUUUGUAAUGUGUCGUCCACUGUGAUUCUUCAUCUUUGGUUGAUUGGAAAACCAGACCUUUAGAUUCAUAUUCUUUUUGCAAGUUCAGUAUCUGAAGGCAUGCCGGUUUAUCUGAGAUGUUGAUAUGGUGGAAAUUACAAGACGUUGAAAGAAUCGGCAGCUCUUUAAGAGAUCCCUUUAACCAUAGUCAUCUCAGUUUCUUAAGGACUAGCAGUUUAGCACCGAAAGACGAAGCAUCACUUCCAUGUGGGGGCGCUGAUGUGCUGGUGCCGGUGGUUGGGGCUGACAGUGGCAGGAUCUGGCUGGAUAGGAGGUCGGGCCGCCAGAAGUUUCACUGAAGAUGACCGCUACUUUUGGCCCCGAGGGCAAUGGUCACCGUUAGCAGCAAAGAUGCAGACACGUAGUAACACCUGCCGGCGUUGUUGAGGGUGGCCGGUCCAUUGGUUAGGAUGAUGAACGGAGGAGAAGCGGUGUUGCAGCUGUUAUUUUGCCCUUGGACAUGUUCGUGAUGUCGGGUGACCCGUGUUCAAAGUUGAAGACUGCAAAAGACAUUGAAAUGUCGUUGGCAUUGUGGCAUUUUUGAAAUGAAGCUCAAGAUUGAUUUUUUGGCCAUGAAGCUCGGAUCGAUUGCACAUAUGAGUAAUAGAGAAUGGACUGGUCGGAACCAGGUGCUUAAAAAUCAUGAUGAGCACGGUUUUGAUUCCUAUUCCAAAGAGGGCCAAACUGCAGAAAGAGUGUUUCAAGUUGAUUUCA